Vigna angularis (adzuki bean) is the source of this 1948-nucleotide RNA transcript. It is a transcript of the gene named F-box/FBD/LRR-repeat protein At5g56420, with no coding region annotated. The record is from RefSeq and is a predicted model, not a curated record. Lineage: Eukaryota; Viridiplantae; Streptophyta; Magnoliopsida; Fabales; Fabaceae. The transcript has 5 exons.
AACAGCAAUAUUAAGUAUGCAGUGCAAUAUGCCAAUUCUUAUUUACAAAACAACAAAACUGGACAAUAGCAGCUUCACACCCUUCUCUUCUUCCAAUUAACCCCACCACCAGGACCCAUGGUGGAAUCCUCCGAAUCACCGUUGAAGCGACGGCCGCCACAUGCCGGUGAUGACAGAAUUAGUCAGCUUCCGGACGUGCUGCUUCUCCAAAUCCUCUCUCUUCUUCCAACCAAACAGGCAGUGGUCACUGGCAUUCUCGCGAAGCGGUGGCGGCCACUGUGGCCGGCCGUGUCGGUCCUCGACCUCGACGACGAGUCCUCUCCGGAGUCCCGCCUCGGUCCCGCGGGCUUCGCGGAGUUUGUGUACUCGGUGCUUCUACUGCACGACGCGCCGGCAAUCCAGCGGUUCCGGCUCCGUUGUGCGAAUCCGAACUCCUCCGCGCGCGACAUCGCGACGUGGCUGUGUCAUGUGGCGCGGCGGAGGGUGGAGAGCGUGGAGCUCUCGCUUUCGCUGUCGCGCUACGUGGCGCUCCCGCGGCGCCUCUUCAACUGCGACACUGUUUCAGCCAUGAAGCUCAACGGCGUGUUCUUCAACGCGCUCGCCUCGUUCUCCGUGCGCUUGCCUCUGCUGAGGGCUUUGCACGUGGGGGAUAGGGUUCUGUUCGGGUGCCACGAUUACGUGGUGAAGCUUCUUGCUGGGUGCCCCGCGCUGGAGGACUUGGUGCUGGAAUCCACUUACAACGAUGCUUGCGGAGGCGUCGUUUGUGCCGAGGGCAAUUUCGAGCUUAGUUUGAAACACUUGACGCGUGCGAAAAUUGGGUUUUCGUGGAAGGAGAGGUGCCUGAAGUCCAUGCUUCUCAUUUUCCAAGCGCUUUCUCACGUUAGGUGCCUCUCGCUUUCUCCCUGUACAGUUGCGUGUUUGAAGCACGCUUCUGCCAUUGAUAUUCCGGUGUUUGACAAAUUAACCCAGCUCGAAAUUUCAUUUGGAAGCUAUUCAUGGGAUUUGUUAGCAAACUUGCUUCAACGUUCCCACAAGCUGGAAGUUCUUAUCAUCAACAAGGAACCACAAAAAUAUGGGAAGGGACAAGAGUCAAGGUGGAGCCAUCCACUCCUCGUUCCUGAAUGCCUUUUACAUCUCAAAACGUUUUGCCUCAGAGAAUAUCAAGGAUUGGAAACCGAGCUGGAUUUUGUAGGGUAUAUUAUGCAAAAUGCUAGAGUGUUAGAGACAAUGACUAUCUACUUAUCAAGCUCCUUAAGUUCCGAGGAAAAACUCCAAAUCCGCAGGCAUUUAUCUAUACUUCAAAGGAACUUUGAAACCUGUCAAAUUGUAUUCAAUUGAAUCAUAUUCUUGAAAGGGGACUUCCUUCCAAUGUUUGAUCCCUUUAAUACCUUCUUUCGUAUUGCUGUGGCAAAGUUCGUGUUGAAGAUUCUGCCAUUAAGCAUGAUAACCUCCCGAAUUUCUUCUCCCCUUUCAUUAAAAGAACAGGAAAGUUCCAGCAGUUUCAAGCGCAGCAAUUUGUAAUCAUUGAAGUAUGACGUAGCCUAUUUUGAUUGGAGAGCAUUUUUGUUUCAGGGUCUUUCAUUUUGUUGUUAGUAAUGCUUUACAGUGUAUUAGUAUCUUUCCCUUGUUAUUGUGAAUACUUCUAAUUUGUCUAAUAUGACCGAAACCUGGCUGACGGAGGCUCGUUAUCAGCUGUAACUUGAAUACCUGUCCCGCCUGGGGAAUUCAUCCUGACGUGUUGCUUUGAGAGAAAAAUCUAUAACUGUUAUUUUUUUUUGCAUACUUCAAAGUUCGGAGCAGCUUUCUCUCGAUAAAUUGUGACCGCUCUGCAGGAUCUUGUAUAACGUCUACAACAACAUUUGUAAGCUGUUUUGUGCUGUUUAGUUUCUGACAUUUGCUUAAUAUAGUAAUGGCAAUGAAUAUACCUGAAUUUUCUUAUUGUUCAAAA